RNAcentral lists this ribosomal RNA (639 nucleotides) under uncultured Actinomycetes bacterium. RNAcentral's name for it is "bacterial SSU rRNA". It matches the Rfam family "Bacterial small subunit ribosomal RNA", at positions 234 to 885 of the family's 1533-position model. The record is from RNAcentral. Lineage: Bacteria; Bacillati; Actinomycetota; Actinomycetes.
CGCCUGGGGAGUACGGGUGAGGUAACGGCUCACCAAGGCGACGACGGGUAACCGGCCUGAGAGGGUGACCGGUCACACUGGGACUGAGACGCGGCCCAGACUCCUACGGGAGGCAGCAGUGGGGAAUAUUGCACAAUGGGCGCAAGCCUGAUGCAGCAACGCCGCGUGAGGGAUGACGGCCUUCGGGUUGUAAACCUCUUUUAGCAGGGAAGAAGCGAAAGUGACGGUACCUGCAGAAAAAGCACCGGCUAACUACGUGCCAGCAGCCGCGGUAAUACGUAGGGUGCAAGCGUUGUCCGGAAUUAUUGGGCGUAAAGAGCUCGUAGGCGGUUUGUCACGUCUGCUGUGAAAAUCCAAGGCUCAACUUUGGACUUGCAGUGGGUACGGGCAGGCUAGAGUGCGGUAGGGGAGAUGGGAAUUCCUGGUGUAGCGGUGGAAUGCGCAGAUAUCAGGAGGAACACCAAUGGCGAAGGCACAUCUCUGGGCCGUAACUGACGCUGAGGAGCGAAAGCGUGGGGAGCGAACAGGAUUAGAUACCCUGGUAGUCCACGCCGUAAACGGUGGGUGCUAGCUGUGGGCCACAUUCCACGUGGUCCGUGACGAAGUUAACACAUUAAGCACCCCGCCUGGGGAGUACGG